This 345-nucleotide ribosomal RNA is filed under the name uncultured Devosia sp. RNAcentral describes it as "bacterial SSU rRNA". It matches the Rfam family "Bacterial small subunit ribosomal RNA", at positions 148 to 508 of the family's 1533-position model. Lineage: Bacteria; Pseudomonadati; Pseudomonadota; Alphaproteobacteria; Hyphomicrobiales; Devosiaceae. The record is from RNAcentral.
ACUUGGAAACAGGUGCUAAUACCGCAUAAGACCACGGCUCGCAUGGGGCUGAGGUAAAGGAGGGAUCCGGUUUGGGGUGGGCUCGCGUCUGAUUAGUUAGUUGGUGAGGUAACGGCUCACCAAGACUGCGAUCAGUAGCCGGACUGAGAGGUUGAACGGCCACAUUGGGACUGAGAUACGGCCCAGACUCCUACGGGAGGCAGCAGUGGGGAAUAUUGGGCAAUGGGCGCAAGCCUGACCCAGCAACGCCGCGUGAAGGAAGAAGGCUUUCGGGUUGUAAACUUCUUUUACCGGGGACGAAGAAAGUGACGGUACCCGGAGAAUAAGCCACGGCUAACUACGUGC